CCACGCUAUGCGGGAGAGACACCGGAAUCUGCGGUGUCACCGAAGGAGCAAGCCUCCCCGCCAAUCUCUCAGGUAGAAAGUACCGCUUAGCAAGG
Molecule: non-coding RNA, 95 nt
Filed under: actinobacterium acMicro-4
Lineage: Bacteria; Bacillati; Actinomycetota; Actinomycetes
Description: Actinobacterium acMicro-4 Glycine sequence
Rfam family: Glycine riboswitch aptamer
About the family: This family represents the bacterial glycine riboswitch. Glycine riboswitches usually consist of two metabolite-binding aptamers domains with similar structures in tandem.
Source: RNAcentral